This 345-nucleotide ribosomal RNA is filed under the name Agathobacter rectalis. RNAcentral's name for it is "bacterial SSU rRNA". It matches the Rfam family "Bacterial small subunit ribosomal RNA", at positions 1 to 326 of the family's 1533-position model. The record is from RNAcentral. Lineage: Bacteria; Bacillati; Bacillota; Clostridia; Lachnospirales; Lachnospiraceae.
UAACAUGAGAGUUUGAUCCUGGCUCAGGAUGAACGCUGGCGGCGUGCUUAACACAUGCAAGUCGAACGAAGCACUUUAUUUGAUUUCCUUCGGGACUGAUUAUUUUGUGACUGAGUGGCGGACGGGUGAGUAACGCGUGGGUAACCUGCCUUGUACAGGGGGAUAACAGUUGGAAACGGCUGCUAAUACCGCAUAAGCGCACGGCAUCGCAUGAUGCAGUGUGAAAAACUCCGGUGGUAUAAGAUGGACCCGCGUUGGAUUAGCUAGUUGGUGAGGUAACGGCCCACCAAGGCGACGAUCCAUAGCCGACCUGAGAGGGUGACCGGCCACAUUGGGACUGAGACA